RNAcentral lists this ribosomal RNA (855 nucleotides) under uncultured Bacilli bacterium. Its description in RNAcentral is "bacterial SSU rRNA". It matches the Rfam family "Bacterial small subunit ribosomal RNA", at positions 56 to 893 of the family's 1533-position model. The record is from RNAcentral. Lineage: Bacteria; Bacillati; Bacillota; Bacilli.
UGCAAGUAGAACGCUGAAGAGAGGAGCUUGCUCUUCUUGGAUGAGUUGCGAACGGGUGAGUAACGCGUAGGUAACCUGCCUUGUAGCGGGGGAUAACUAUUGGAAACGAUAGCUAAUACCGCAUAACAAUGGAUGACACAUGUCAUUUAUUUGAGAGGGGCAAUUGCUCCACUACAAGAUGGACCUGCGUUGUAUUAGCUAGUAGGUGAGGUAACGGCUCACCUAGGCGACGAUACAUAGCCGACCUGAGAGGGUGAUCGGCCACACUGGGACUGAGACACGGCCCAGACUCCUACGGGAGGCAGCAGUAGGGAAUCUUCGGCAAUGGGGGCAACCCUGACCGAGCAACGCCGCGUGAGUGAAGAAGGUUUUCGGAUCGUAAAGCUCUGUCGUAAGUCAAGAACGAGUGUGAGAGUGGAAAGUUCACACUGUGACGGUAGCUUACCAGAAAGGGACGGCUAACUACGUGCCAGCAGCCGCGGUAAUACGUAGGUCCCGAGCGUUGUCCGGAUUUAUUGGGCGUAAAGCGAGCGCAGGCGGUUUGAUAAGUCUGAAGUUAAAGGCUAUGGCUCAACCAUAGUUCGCUUUGGAAACUGUCAAACUUGAGUGCAGAAGGGGAGAGUGGAAUUCCAUGUGUAGCGGUGAAAUGCGUAGAUAUAUGGAGGAACACCGGUGGCGAAAGCGGCUCUCUGGUCUGUAACUGACGCUGAGGCUCGAAAGCGUGGGGAGCGAACAGGAUUAGAUACCCUGGUAGUCCACGCCGUAAACGAUGAGUGCUAGGUGUUGGAUCCUUUCCGGGAUUCAGUGCCGCAGCUAACGCAUUAAGCACUCCGCCUGGGGAGUACGACCGCAAGG